Molecule: non-coding RNA, 21 nt
Organism: Caenorhabditis elegans
Lineage: Eukaryota; Metazoa; Nematoda; Chromadorea; Rhabditida; Rhabditidae
Source: Ensembl
UGAUAUUUCUACACAGAUUGA